AUUCUCGUUUAUCUAUCAAUCGAUGGUCUGGAGCGUUGGAUCGUCACUGGACGUACAAAAAUAACUUUAUGUGGAAAUCAUGUUUUCGGGCCCAUGUUGCGACCUCUUCAGCCCAUUUGGCGGUUAUCGGGUCCAUAUGCGCACGACCCAUUUUUUGACCAUGUCAUCAGGGUGUCUGAUCCAUUUCGGCUUCAUUCUCAUCACCGAACGAGGGGAGCGAAGCAUUGGGGCGAUUCAGCAGCUCGUCGGUGAUUCAUCUAUCUCGUCGGUGCAAGCAUCUACUCGUGUGCGGCAUUGAGGCGUUUGAUGGAUGGACUAUGGAGCCGGAGAGACCAAUGAAUAGGACCAAAAUCAUGCUCCAUAUGGGAAUUUCCUGCAGCGAUGUUCAAUUGGGUGCAGCGAAGUUCAAUUGGGUCUCGAUCUGGGAAUUUGCACUUGGUCUUUGUUCAGUUUCAGGUCUACAGUUAGUAUAGGGGGGAUGGAUAUUUGGGGAUUAAUAAAUGUUUGGGAUUCGAUUUGGAGAUUCCUGGUCCAUACGUGCUUACUAGCUGAGGAAUCAUGCAUGUUAAGGUGUUGUACUACUAGCUUUUACUGCUGUUGGUGAACACCACUAGCUGUGAGCUUGCAAAUAUGUGACUGAAUCAGAGUUUAUGAUGGCUUGAGAAAUCCAUAUCUCCUAAUUUUGUGCUUUGUUUUUGUGUGUUUUUAGUUUCCUGUUGUUAAAAGCUAAUGUUAAAAAUGGAUUCAUAUCUGUACCAAUAAACUGGUGUAUAAAUAAAUUGCAAUGAUGUGAACUACAUAUGCAUGUGUUUCUGGAAGUGGAAUCAUGGUCUCAUGGAUGUUAACGUUGUGACCGUAGCAGGCUUUCACUUUUACCUUUAAGCUAUUAAAAAUUAUACUAAUGCUUAGUUAAAUAUACUCCUUUUGAACUUCAAUUUUGAUGCGUAUAUCUUCCUGUCUACCUUUCUGUGCAUGCUCUGUGCUCAUGGUGACACCCGUGAGUGUUGUGACUUGGCAUUUUUACUCUAGGUUGGCUUGUUAUACGUGUCAAUGCAGUUAUGUGAUUUUUGUUAGUGAUAGUGACAUGGAUAGUACCAUGCACCGUUUAUCCAAUGACACAUUGAUUUAUGGCGGCUGUAUGACUGGCCAUAGUAAUAGGUCUUGUUGGUGCGUAUUUGUUUGAGAUGCAUGCUUACUGCUUUGGUGAUCAUUGAUAAGAUAGUGGAUUGCUUUUGCUUCAAGAAUUUUGUAGGCCACUUUGUAAGUUAUAUUACUUUUAGAUUGUUGCAUGAUUCAAAAGCAUAUAUGCUAUUUUCUUCUGUGUAUGCUGCUUCCAUUAGCUGACUGUUGCUUUUUUGUCUUGAUGAGUAUUCUUUUUUUUUAGUUUCAUGUAACUUCGGCCUUUGGAAUGUGAACUUUAUACUCCCUAUUUUUCAUUUAUAUAUGAUGGUGAUAAAAAAUAGAGGGUGUAUUUAAGUUUUAAAAAAUAUGUUUCUCCAUGUGUACAUGUCCAUCCUAUCAUUCUUUGCUCUCUGUAUGUCAACAUUUUGUUUGUUGACCUCUGAAACUUUUUAAUGUGUAUCUGUGACUCUAUGGUUUGUUUCUAUUCAUCCGACCAUGUCCCUACUUGGUUUCGUAGGUGAGGUCUGUCAGAUUUUCUUGAUCAUGGUAUAGUUCUGGGAGUUGAGGGAAGAUGUGUAGAUCAUACCUUCUUCUUUUCCUUCAUGUUUCGAUUUAGCGAUUUUUGUUUAGUUACAUGAAUUACAUAAGGUGGACUAAAAAUGAUCUCAAAUACCCUCCACCCCUGUCCCCUCCUAUGCUACAAAUACUGAACUUUUGAGGUUACAGUUAGUUCUUUUCUGACCAUCAAUUUCUUGUGUUCUGACUUUGUGAGAGAUAUCCUUUUCUUUUGUGUCUGUGCGGUGUGGACCUGCAGAUACCAGAUUAGGUUCCAAUUAGUUCUUUUCUGACCAUCAUUUUCCGUAAUCGUGAUUGCUAAAGUUCUAUUUUUUCGCAUACCAAACUAUUCUGAUAUGUCAAAGUAUUUUUCUUACACAACUCCAAUACAAGGUAAUAGCUGCCAUAUUUGUAUUGGAUACUAUAUGUUAAAUUUAAUUAUAAGGCAAUUAUGUUAUUACUUUUCCAACAACAAGUUCUUUUUAGACUCAUAUCUAAGUGUAAUUUUUUGUUGCAAUUAAUAAAGUACCACUUGCUAUAAUUUUGCUUUUCGCUGGUGCUACAAGCUUUUUUCAUAAUAUCUCUUAAGUUUGAAAUGUCAUAUCAUUUUCUAAGUACGUAAUUAGCAUAAUUUAUAUGAUAUUUCCAGUCUUUUCUUACACUGCAAAAAUAAAGUAUUACAUUGAUUAUUAUAUUGUAGGGCACAAAAAAUUUGUUGAGAGAGAACGAUUUUGUUGUAUUACAUUGAUUAUUAUAGUUUAAAUUUUUCAUAGUGAGAGAGAACGAUUUUGUUGUAUCUUAUUUUCCUGCUAACUGUAAUUUUUUAGAUUGAGGGGUAUAAUCUAUCCUCUUUUAUUCAAUAUUUAGUAGCAUUUGUUCAUAUAUGCAUCUUUGUGGACUUUAUUUUUUGAUGUAUAGGCUCAUACCUUUUCUAUUAGGAUAUGCUGCUCCUUUCUUGGAUAUUUAUCAGUUUUUGUGUGACACUACAUUCUGGUAGUUGGACUUCCUUUUUAUUUCAAUUAGAGUUGCCUAAUAUUGUACUGACACCCCAAAUUUUUUGUGUAUCUUGUCUGUAUGACCACUAUAAUUUAAAAAAAUAUGCAUGCAACUUACAUCAAUCCUUUCUUUAUUCAUUUUGCAACAACCAUGCCUUGCUACUAUGCAUUUCUAUUGCCACUUUUAGGUGGUUUUUCUUUUAUACGAAAUAACUUAUAGGAUUUCAUAUGUAUGUUCUCAGAUGCCACAUUGUGCUAACUGCCUAACUUUGAAUAAUUUUUUAAACUCUGGACAGUAAAUUGAUUUAGUUUUGAAUUUUAAUAUUCUCCAUUUGUCGAUUUGAUUGACUUGAACUCUUGUUUUUGUUGGGGCAGCAAUAGUAUCCUACUUAACUUUUAUUGUCUGACUUUCUUCGAUUUACUAAUUUCACGUGAUCGUAAUGCCUUUUACUUUUGUUACAACUGUUCUAUUCUAGCAAUAGAUAUUAUUAUCCUUGGGGAUGUCAAGUUCUAUCUUUACAAGGUACUUGCUCAAUCCUUUACUUGUACAUUCUCUUAACAAAAUUAAGAUUCAAACAUUCUAGUUCUAGCAACUAAUGUCUUUUCUUGCAUUUUGUCGGAAGAAAAUAUUUAUAUGUGUUCUUCAUGCAUCCUAUGUUUAAUCUUUUUUCUGUUGUUUUUUAAGAUAAACAUGGACCUGUCUUGCCAUGACUAUGCAUGUCUAGCCUUUUGCUGAUAUGUAUCUAUCAUUUUAAGUAGUUGUUAAAUUUUGGAGUACAAGAACUAUAAUUCUUAACAUGGACCUGUCUUGUUUUUUCAGGCCACCCAAGUGUUAAAAUUUUCAGGUUUGCCUUAUUCAGAUGUGUUUUUUUGUUGUUAUCAGCCAAAAAAUUGUACCUCUAAACCUCUAUUUUGAAGAUGUUUUUUAAAUUUUCAGCCAAAAGGUUGCUAUGUACAUGUGUAUUUUUCAGAUUUAUUUUUUUUCUUCUUAUCAGCCAAAAAGUUGUAUUGUAAAUUUGUGUUUUUUUUCAGAUGUGUUUUUUUUCUUAUUAUCAGCCUAGAAAUCGUACCUACAAAUGUGUAUUUUUUCUCUCCAGAUCUAUGACUUUUUGCUUAUUAUACUGGCCCAAAAAUUGUACUUGUAAA
Molecule: long non-coding RNA, 3818 nt
Organism: Panicum virgatum (switchgrass)
Lineage: Eukaryota; Viridiplantae; Streptophyta; Magnoliopsida; Poales; Poaceae
Exons: 2
Source: RefSeq, a predicted model, not a curated record